RNAcentral lists this ribosomal RNA (253 nucleotides) under uncultured bacterium. RNAcentral's name for it is "partial 16S ribosomal RNA". It matches the Rfam family "Bacterial small subunit ribosomal RNA", at positions 524 to 776 of the family's 1533-position model. The record is from RNAcentral.
UACGUAGGGGGCAAGCGUUAUCCGGAUUUACUGGGUGUAAAGGGAGCGCAGACGGCAGUGCAAGUCUGGAGUGAAAGCCCGGGGCCCAACCCCGGAACUGCUCUGGAAACUGUGCGGCUGGAGUACUGGAGGGGCAGGCGGAAUUCCUAGUGUAGCGGUGAAAUGCGUAGAUAUUAGGAGGAACACCAGUGGCGAAGGCGGCCUGCUGGACAGUAACUGACGUUGAGGCUCGAAAGCGUGGGGAGCAAACAGG